UUUCCGUAGGUGAACCUGCGGAAGGAUCAUUAAAAAAUAUCACUCGAUUGAGAGUGAUUUAAUAAUCAUCCUACCUUUGUGAAUUUGUUUGUAAUGUUAAAUUUAUGUUGUCUAUCCUUGGAAAGUUUGUUCAUUUAAACCCCAAGGGAAUAGGCUUUCAUAGACCUUUUUUUUAAAAUUAAACAUUUUGUAUUCAUUUGUCUAAAAUUAUUUUUAAAAUAAUUUAAAAACAACUUUUGACAAUGGAUCUCUUGGUUCUCGCAACGAUGAAGAACGCAGCAAAAUGCGAUAAGUAAUGUGAAUUGCAGAAUACGUGAAUCAUCAAAUCUUCGAACGCAUAUUGCACUUUUUUAGUUUACUAAAAAAGUAUGUCUGUUUGAGUAUCAGUAAAAUAUUCUCAUAAAAAAAAUUUUUUUUUUUUAUGGUCAUGAGUGUUUUACAACGAUAAACAAGUUGUUUCACUUUAAAUUGAUUUUUAAAAGCCAAUUUUUUUUGGUUUUUAUCUAAUGAAAUUGGAUAAAAUUUUCCCGUAAAAAGGAAUAAACUUUUCAGUUUUAAAGGGUAAAAAUUAAAAUAUUAAUUGUUGCUUAAUUUAAAAGGAAAAUUUAAUUUAAAAAUAACUUGAUCUCAAAUCAGAUAAGAGUACCCGCUGAACUUAAGCAUAUCAAUAAGCGGAGGAAAAGAAACUAACAAGGAUUCCCUUAGUAACGGCGAGUGAAGCGGGAAGAGCUCAAAUUUGAAAUCUUCAAGGUUCUACCUUGACGAAUUGUAGUUUAAAGAAGUGUUUCUGUUAGAGGAGUAGCAAAAGUUCCUUGGAAUGGGACAUCAUAGAGGGUGAGAAUCCCGUAUUUGGUUAUUCUUUCUAGCUUUGUGAUACACUUUCAAAGAGUCGGAUUGUUUGGGAAUGCAGUCCAAAAUGGGUGGUAAAUUUCAUCUAAAGCUAAAUAUUGGCGAGAGACCGAUAGCGAACAAGUACCGUGAGGGAAAGAUGAAAAGAACUUUGAAAAGAGAGUUAAACAGUACGUGAAAUUGUCAAAAGGGAAGCGUUUGACACCAGUGUUGUUUUUCCGAAAAUCAAUUAAGAAGGGCUUGAUUUUGUGUUGUAUUGACCUUAUCAGCUUUCUUCACUCUUUUUCGAGUCUUUCUUAAUGCACUUUUCGGUUAACAAGUCAACAUCAAUUUCUUUUGUUGUAAAAGGGUAUUUGGAAGGUGGCUUUCUUUUUGGAGAAAGUGUUUAUAGCCUUAUACCUCUACAAUCGGAGAGAUUGAGGUCUGCAGCGUAGAUCCUUCGGGCUAGAUACACUUGUGCUAAGUUAUAGCUUUUCAUAGACAACUUGUUGACUAUGUUUAGUCAUGUAGCUUACCCGCUUGUGCUAUUUACCUACGCUUAGGAUGUUG
RNAcentral lists this unclassified non-coding RNA (1398 nucleotides) under uncultured Neocallimastigales. RNAcentral's name for it is "partial contains small subunit ribosomal RNA, internal transcribed spacer 1, 5.8S ribosomal RNA, internal transcribed spacer 2, and large subunit ribosomal RNA". The stretch from base 623 to 1398 matches the Rfam family "Eukaryotic large subunit ribosomal RNA", at positions 1 to 628 of the family's 3401-position model. Lineage: Eukaryota; Fungi; Neocallimastigomycota; Neocallimastigomycetes; Neocallimastigales. The record is from RNAcentral.